RNAcentral lists this ribosomal RNA (215 nucleotides) under Conus textile (cloth-of-gold cone). RNAcentral describes it as "partial 16S ribosomal RNA". It matches the Rfam family "Archaeal large subunit ribosomal RNA", at positions 1935 to 2188 of the family's 2987-position model. The record is from RNAcentral. Lineage: Eukaryota; Metazoa; Mollusca; Gastropoda; Neogastropoda; Conidae.
AUACGAAGUCGGACCUGCCCAGUGAGUUUUAAACGGCCGCGGUACUCUGACCGUGCAAAGGUAGCAUAAUCAUUUGCCUUAUAAUUGAAGGCUGGAAUGAAUGGUUUGACAAGAAUACAGCUGUCUCUUUUAGAUUACUUAGAAUUUUAUCUUUGGAUGAAAAAGUCCAGAUAUAAUUAAAAGACAAGAAGACCCUAUCGAGCUUUAGGGAAGUU